CCGAGUGACCCUCGCAAGGAGGAACCGCGAACCGGGUCAGGCCUUAACCGGAGCAGCCCUAAGUGGGGUACUCUUGUGCGAGGGUCUCUCGGCUCCA
RNAcentral lists this signal recognition particle RNA (97 nucleotides) under Pirellulaceae bacterium. RNAcentral describes it as "signal recognition particle sRNA small type". It matches the Rfam family "Bacterial small signal recognition particle RNA". From Rfam's summary of the family: The signal recognition particle (SRP) is a universally conserved ribonucleoprotein involved in the co-translational targeting of proteins to membranes. Archaeal SRP consists of a 7S RNA and homologues of the eukaryotic SRP19 and SRP54 proteins. Lineage: Bacteria; Pseudomonadati; Planctomycetota; Planctomycetia; Pirellulales; Pirellulaceae. The record is from RNAcentral.